This 65-nucleotide transfer RNA is filed under the name Macrophthalmus darwinensis. RNAcentral's name for it is "tRNA-Ile". The record is from RNAcentral. Lineage: Eukaryota; Metazoa; Arthropoda; Malacostraca; Decapoda; Macrophthalmidae.
AAUAUAGUGCCUGAUAAAAAGGGUAGUUUUGAUAGAACUAAUCAUGCAAUUUUUUGUCUAUAUUA